GAUGAACGCUGGCGGCGUGCCUAAUACAUGCAAGUCGAGCGAACGGACGAGAAGCUUGCUUCUCUGAUGUUAGCGGCGGACGGGUGAGUAACACGUGGAUAACCUACCUAUAAGACUGGGAUAACUUCGGGAAACCGGAGCUAAUACCGGAUAAUAUUUUGAACCGCAUGGUUCAAAAGUGGAAGACGGUCUUGCUGUCACUUAUAGAUGGAUCCGCGCUGCAUUAGCUAGUUGGUAAGGUAACGGCUUACCAAGGCAACGAUGCAUAGCUGACCUGAGAGGGUGAUCGGCCACACUGGAACUGAGACACGGUCCAGACUCCUACGGGAGGCAGCAGUAGGGAAUCUUCCGCAAAGGGCGAAAGCCUGACGGAGCAACGCCGCGUGAGUGAUGAAGGUCUUCGGAUCGUAAAACUCUGUUAUUAGGGAAGAACAUAUGUGUAAGUAACUGUGCACAUCUUGACGGUACCUAAUCAGAAAGCCACGGCUAACUACGUG
This 497-nucleotide ribosomal RNA is filed under the name uncultured bacterium. Its description in RNAcentral is "partial 16S ribosomal RNA". It matches the Rfam family "Bacterial small subunit ribosomal RNA", at positions 28 to 507 of the family's 1533-position model. The record is from RNAcentral.